GUUAUCUUUUAAAGGUCUUUUGACCUUUUGUGAGAGGCCACUUUUUGACCACCUAGGGGAAGCUCCGGGACACUUUUUUGCCAACCGUGGGAGACAUUUUCUACAGGAGAUAGAGCACGUCUCUAAAGUGACCUGUUAAAGACAGGGAAAGUUGGAUAGAGCUGGAAAAAGAAAAACCAGAGGGAGAAAGGAGUAACAGAGGGGAGGAAAACCAGGAGAGGAAGAAGAAGGAUAGCUUGUUGAGCUCUUGCAGAUCUUGGGGAGAGGACACAACUUGCCUGAAGCCAAGCCAACACUACUUGGGAGGAGUUAUUCCAGGUAGAUCCACUGAUUCCAAAUAUUUUUCCUAGCAGCACAAUGCUUCUAUUGCUCUCCCUUGUAUCAGGAACGUGCAGAACAUGACAUAAGGGAUGCUUGACAUGUUUUAAGUAUUUAAAGUCUCCUCACUUUAGAGUAGUACUUCUUGUGGCCAAGAACGUUUGCACAAUGUCUAGUUUUCGCAUAGGCAUAAUAGUUGCCUUUGAAUUUAUGGUGUUUCCUUUUAGGAUCAUAGAGAGAAUUUUUCACCUUUUCAUUUUCCUUCUAGGAUGUGUAAUUAUAUUAGAAUUGGACUUAUCAGAGAUGUCUUCUUCUAACACUUUUUUUUUUUCUUUUCACUUUCAUUAUUUUCAUGUUGUAUUCUCAAUCUUAUCACAAGGUCAUCAAGCCCCAUAUUUUCGUUGUGUUA
Vitis riparia (riverbank grape) is the source of this 727-nucleotide long non-coding RNA. RefSeq lists it as uncharacterized. The transcript is spliced from 2 exons. The record is from RefSeq and is a predicted model, not a curated record. NCBI's taxonomy places the organism in Eukaryota, Viridiplantae, Streptophyta, Magnoliopsida, Vitales, Vitaceae.